Molecule: long non-coding RNA, 4024 nt
Filed under: Gallus gallus (chicken)
Lineage: Eukaryota; Metazoa; Chordata; Aves; Galliformes; Phasianidae
Source: RNAcentral
CGUUCUGUGAGGGGGCGCGCGUGCCGGAGGGGCGGCGAUGUGGGGCGGCGGGAUGCUUGCUGUUAGUUGGUUGUACCCUUCACCGUGGUAAAAUCCACGAAUUCUGUUUGAAAUGAACCUUGCUCUCUUCUGGGCUCAGCCUGAGGCGUUAGAGCUAUAAGUGUGAGCUGUCUGCAGCGCUCGGGCAGCCGUGGGGAGCUCCGUCCUCCCAUCUCCUCACCUCUCCAAAAUGGCGCUGCGGGGUUUCACAGCGCUGUGCGGUGGAGGGAUGGUUGUUUUUUCCUCAUCUCCACAGAGUGCUUUGACGCGUUGCAAAACAGGCAAGAAAAAAGAUCGCCAAAAAUGUAACCAUCUGCAGAGGUCUCUGGGGCAGGAACAUUUUCUCUCCUCUUUAAAUGUGAUCAGCAGGACAAGAAGCUGAAGGUAUGACCAGAAGUCUUUCCUUCUCUUGUCGUUCAUUCACCUGAUAAAAUGAAUUUCAGCCUUCAAGCACAAAUAAAAGUGGAGCAAUACAGAUACAUCAGCCCAGAACCUCCCAGAACAUCCGACGUGUGGACUAGUACACCAGUAAAAGAUGAGGAGAUUUCCUGGUAAAUUUAUACAUUUCUUUGCUGAGAAUCCUGGAUCUCCUUUCCCUCUCAUGCACCUCAGUAUACAGCUUCCAACUCUUGUGCAUUUGCAGGCACAGGAGAUUAUUUCGUUUGGAACUGGAAAGAUUAAAACCUGGCAGAAAUGUGGCAAAACGAUCAGGAUUGCUGCUUAAAACAUCUGUCACGAAACUCAAAGAGGGUUUAAGACUGGACAGUGCAAAUCAAGUGAAAAUGUGGACGCAGCCCUGGGGAUUUGGACCUGAAUAAUACAGCCUCUUCCAUGAGCAAUACGAGUGCUGCUAUGGACAUCCAAAUCAGCCACCGCACGUGAGGAUCGGAUUAGAUUGAUAGUGGAUAUUUUUUCUGUAAGGAAGUGGAGUUCUGGCUUAAGAGAAGCAGCUGGAAAGUGUACAGAGAUGAUUCUCAUCUCAGAGAAUUACUUUCAGAGUGAUUUCCCUGGACAAUAUGUUCAAAUUAAACUGGGCAUGGAAGAAGAACACGUGCUAUUUCCAAUUAAAAAUAUCCGUAUUAAAUACCUAUGUGUACGUAAAGAUAUAUACAGAGAUACAAACGUGCUUACAUCCUGCGUGAUAUCUUAGCCUAUGCAAACGUAGGUCUGCUCACACACAACGGUUAAGCUAAGCUUACAUAUGGUGAUGAAGAGAAAAUCAUGGAAGAACUAGAAGAGUUACAGGGGUAGCAUCACCUACUCACCGGUGGUCUCGUAGUGAUGGCAGUGAAGUCUCGGUCUGCACAGCUGCCUCUCCUUGCCAACCUCCUGUGAUGUUCCAGUUGUAAUGACAGUGAGUGCCUUUCACCUUCUUUUAUACCUGCCCAAUAAUCACCACAGCACUUUGUGACUAAGACCUUUCCUCUUGUGUCAGUGGAAGGAGAGAGCUCGCUACUUCCAAUGAGAAUAAAUCUCAGAUGCUAAAAUGUUCAGCUGUGACUAAGGAGAAGAUGACGACUCUGUGGGAAGUGUGUUAUUCUUUUGCUGUCUCCUGUUUUGUUGUUGUUUGGGUGGGUUUUUUUGUUUGUUUGUUUGUUUUUUGAGACCUUUAUUCUGAUGCACUGCUAUGGAGCCCCGAGGUAAUGGAAAAGGGAUAUUCAUACUUGUUCAACAGUUGAGAUCCCUUGCUGUGUGUGCUUUGCUGUGUUCUUGGACUCAUGAAUAGGCCACAGCGUUGCACAGCUGGAAUCUAACUCAGCAAUACUGUAAGUGUGUAAUGCAAGUGACCAUGCAGUGUGAAUGGACAGUUACUUGCAGAGAACACGAGGAGUUUGUAAAUAAGAUCCCACUAGAUUUUAACGCUCAGCACAAAUCUCAUUUAAAUUGUUUGCACAGUAAGAUGUAUUUGUUUUUGAUUUUAUGAAGUGGGGAGAUAUGGAGGAGCCUUAUCAACUUAGUAAAUGAUAAAAACACAAGCAGCAGCUCAGGCAAGAAGCCAAAUUCUGAUGUGAUUUGAAACCAUAGGACUUACUGAGAUGCAAAUCUGGAUACUCACUUUAUGAUAUCUGGUCAGGUAAUUCAGUACAGUUUGGAUACUGAGCAUAUGGAUGGACUGGAGCACCAGGCUGAACCACUAGGUCUGUUUAAGAGGACCAGACCCUAUUUCUCCAAGCAAAUGAAAGUGAAUGUAUUUGUCUUCUCUGAGAAAAGAAUCCCUGGAAAAACUGAGGAUACCAUUUGCUCGGUGUUACCAUAAGCUACCCGUUCAUUUCCCAUAGGCACUGCCUCACCAUCCCAUUAAAUUCAGACUCAGGUGAGUGGAAAUGCAUUGUCUGAUAACACAGACAGGCCAGGCCCUGCUAGCAGUGUUCUCACCUCAUCCAUUCUUGCAGGUUCUGCGGACAUCAGAUCCUCUUUAUUAAAUUCCUCGUGACAGCUUGUUGUGAGCCCUGCUAUUUCUCAGCACUCAAAUAAGUGUUCCUGAUGACGUGAGUCACAAUUGUUAGUGUCACUCAUUAAAGUGUAUGAAGUCUGUCACCAAUUAAAAAUGACAUUUAUUAAAUGUGGCUAAAGCAGAGGCCUGCUUCUCAUCUUAAGUUUCCAGGGUAGCGUGCAGUGUUGCUGAAUUAUCUGUCCAUGAAGGCAAAGUUUCAUGGUUACAUCCUCAAGGAUUAAUGAGCAUUGGCCAAAGUCGGGACUGAAGUCAGGACCGAAACAUCUGGUCUAAUUUGUCCCUGAACUUUUAGAGUCACCAUCACAUAAUGGGCUUCCAUUGACCACACUUAUUGGUGUCUGCAGUGGGAGAACAGACAUUGCAUUAAUCCAAGUGCCUGCAGGUAGGUCAGAGAUGUCGACAAGGCUCAGUAAAUGGAUACUUGAAGCAUUCUGUAACGGCCAAAGUGCAUUGCUGUGGCUACGUGCCUCCAUUGGAUGUUUGUGUCCACCCAAAGACUUAGAAGUGAAAUUAACCUACGUGCCUCCCUACCAGCUCCCCGUGGGGUGCCUGAGAACAGACCGCACUGCAGUAACGGGGCAGUUCUCACAAACAUUCAGUGCAGACACACCGGCACAAACAGCGCAGUGAGGGAGAGAUGCUUGCAGGGAUUGAUUCCAUGCUUUGCACUGUUUCUAAGGAAAACAUGAGAUGCCUCGAUCGCACAGCUUACACCACAGCCACACGCACAGCAGCUAAGAUUUCUGAUUAUGAUGAAAACGUUAAUUCCACAACCACAAAUUGCAAACAGCAUUACCAGCUGAUGGCAAUACGGUUCCAUCGGGCCUCAGGGCACCCUGCAGCCACCAAAGACUUUACUCUCAGCUUCAGAGGCCUCUGCUCCCACCCUAAGGCAUUUCCAGGCCUGACUUUGCAUUGGCCGCUGCCUUUGCUGCUCAGCCACAUUUGCAGGGUGAGCUUUGGGCGAGCAGAGCUGUGCAAAUUGCAGUUUCCCCAUGAGUGAUUCGUUUUGUUUUGUUCAGGCCCUUCCCCAGGGCAGCAGGUGCAGGAGGAAGGGAAGGUGAAAGAGGAAACAGAAAGGCUGGAGGUGCAGCUGGGGGGAGGGAACAGAAAACAAAGUGCAAAGAGCAAGAGGGGUCCCCGGCCUGGGCUUUAAAACUUAAUUCAAUACUGCAGGAGGGACCUUCUGUCUGCAGGGAGAUGGACAGAGAUCGGGCGCAUCUUUCCCACGUGCAGUUUUCUAUGAUUCACCAGCAAUAGAAGAAGCCUUGCUGCUUCUCUCAGGUAAAAAUCCACUUUCUCUCUGCUCUCUCAGCCUACCAGGCUGAAAUUUGCCCAAGCUGCUCGCUGCGGUGUGUGGAAAGGAAAGGCACCGCCCUGCUGAGAGGAAACAGUUUGACCACACUCAGAUGGUAAAUAUAGUUCCCCUGAGCUGCUGGUGAGGCAGCUGCUAAUGAAUGGCUGCUCUCCCUUCCUGGCCUCCUUAAUUGAGAGAUCAGAGGAAAUAACACCUGGCAGCAAACCCGGAGG